GGAAUUUAUAGUCCCAGAAUCAUCGCCUGCACCCUCUUUCUUCUGGCUUUUACGACACAGUAUUUUGAGACUCAUCCAUGUUCCUGUUGUAUUGCUUGCUUGUUCCUUGCCGUUCCUGAGAUUAAGAAACCCACACAGGAAGCUGAGAAACUGCUGGAGUGUCAGAGUCAGAACUUCCAAGAGGAACCAGGAGUACGGGAGGAACAUGAAAGUGGACAAGGAGCGUGACCGUUGAAGCACAGCACCACAGGGAGGGGUUUAGGACUCCGGAUAACUGUGGGCCUGGAUAAUAUCCAGCCUCCCACAAGCAGCUGGUGGAGCAGACUGUUCCCUGACUCUUCCAAGGAAAGGAGACUACCUUUCGCGGUCUGCUAAGUAACAGUCUACAAAAUCAACUGGACCAGCAAAUGGCAAUUGACAGCUGCACAACCUGCAAUUACCUUUAUCCAAUUAAUGCACAAACAAAAAGGAGGAGAUGUUAGACGCCAAAAAGAAUGAGGGUUGUGACCAACUCAGUAUACCACUGGAGGCUAUGUGAGCAAACAGAAAACUGUUCUCAUGAAAGCAGGGUGUUGGAAAACUGACAAACUGCGUCUGCUGCCAGAAGGAUUGCUGAGGGCAGUCGUGCCCCCAGCACAGUGUUCCUUGUGAUUGUCUAUAGGAACGUCUGAAGCCUGUUGUGCCAAGAAAGCAAUUAUGUGCAUCUGUGAUAAAUCAAAUAGCUGACCAACCGUUACCUCUCCCUCCCUGUUCUUUCUAGCUAAUAAGUAUGGAGGGUUAUAGAAGCUCAAGGCUGCCCUUGCUCACUAGAAGCAAGGAGCCCCGGACCCCUUCUUCAAAUAUGCUAUUUUCUCUUUGUCUUUAUUCCUGCAUUCAUCCCCCUUUGUUCAGUCCAACAGGGUCUGCGCCAAAGAAAAGAAACACACAAAUUUGUUCAUUAUUACCAAAUUUUGAAGGGUCUGUUGGAAAGCCCUGUAUAAUCUGUUACAUAGCAAGUGACACUAAAUAACCUCAAAUAUUUUUAUCGUGAUGAAGGUGACAUGAAGUGGUCCUAAUGAUUUUUUUUGCUGGAGACGGAGUCUCGCUCUGUCGCCCAAGCUGGAGUGCAGUGGCGCGAUCUCCACUCACUGCAAGCUCCGCCUCCCGGGUU
Long non-coding RNA from Piliocolobus tephrosceles (Ugandan red Colobus), 1150 nucleotides. RefSeq lists it as uncharacterized. The record is from RefSeq and is a predicted model, not a curated record. Lineage: Eukaryota; Metazoa; Chordata; Mammalia; Primates; Cercopithecidae. The transcript has 4 exons.